This 253-nucleotide ribosomal RNA is filed under the name uncultured bacterium. RNAcentral describes it as "partial 16S ribosomal RNA". It matches the Rfam family "Bacterial small subunit ribosomal RNA", at positions 524 to 776 of the family's 1533-position model. The record is from RNAcentral.
UACGUAGGGUGCGAGCGUUGUCCGGAAUUACUGGGCGUAAAGAGCUCGUAGGUGGUUUGUCGCGUUGUUCGUGAAAACUCACAACUCAAUUGUGGGCGUGCGGGCGAUACGGGCAGACUGGAGUACUGCAGGGGAGACUGGAAUUCCAGGUGUAGCGGUGAAAUGCGUAGAUAUCUGGAGGAACACCGGUGGCGAAGGCGGCAUCCUGGACCAACACUGACGCUGAGGAGCGAAAGCCAGGGGAGCAAACGGG